This is a non-coding RNA of Cicer arietinum (chickpea), 559 nucleotides long. NCBI's taxonomy places the organism in Eukaryota, Viridiplantae, Streptophyta, Magnoliopsida, Fabales, Fabaceae. The record is from RefSeq and is a predicted model, not a curated record.
AAAAACGAAAGGAACAAAAAUGUAUCAAUCUCAAUAACAUGAAUACUUAUAAAUUGUUAUUGUUAUAGUGAAAAAAACUCAACGAAGAGAUCGAGUGAUUCUCAUGGAAGAAUUUAAGUUGCCUGAUCCAAUUAAACUAAGUGAAAAACGCAACAAAGAUCAAGUGAUUCUGCAGAUAGAAGAAUUUAAGUCUUGUGAUCCAAUUAAACCAAGGGAUUGGUGGUUGUACGAUUAAUCACCCAGUUAAUGAUAGCAUCUUUUCGAUUUUAUUCCUACUAAUGCUAUCAAGUGCAACGUCAAUUAUGGAAGUUAGUCUUGUGUCGCAUUCGACUUGUAUCAUCAUUUUGGUCUCAUGGGUCUUCUUGAUUGCAAUUGUUGUUCGGGUUAAUUGGCAAAAGAUCUCUAUUUAUGAUAUAUUAUUAGCCUCACAAGGAAUGAUGAAAUUCAUACCAACUAUUUGUGUUCUUUCUUUAGUUUGCGAUAUUAUUUUCCUACUGCACAUUUUUAAUUCUUAAUUUUGUUUUCUUCUUCUCUAUAGACUACUUUGUAAUUUUCUUUA